Molecule: long non-coding RNA, 33185 nt
Filed under: Arachis ipaensis
Lineage: Eukaryota; Viridiplantae; Streptophyta; Magnoliopsida; Fabales; Fabaceae
Description: long non-coding RNA (AIPA_LNC000762)
Source: RNAcentral
CUGAGGAGUCUGAUUCAAUAUAUUCUGUCAUCAUGUGGACUGAUUGAUCAUAAGAUGGCUCCAACUGUCCUAUUUGAAGAUAAUACAGCAUGCAUUGCUCAACUUAAGGGUGGAUACAUCAAAGGUGAUAGAACAAAACAUAUUUCUCCCAAAUUCUUCUUCACUCAUGACCUUCAAAAUCAAGGGACAAUUGAUGUCCAACAGAUCCGUUCAAGUGACAAUCUGGCAGAUUUAUUUACAAAGUCACUCCCAAAAUUCUCCUUUGAAAGAUUGGUACAUGAGAUUGGAAUGCAUCGAUUUCGAGACAUUAAAUGAUGUCGGCAAGAGGGGGAGACUGUACUCUUUUUCCCUUGGUCAAGUUUUUUUUCCAUUGGGUUUUUCUUGACAAGGUUUUUAAUGAGGCAGUUUCCAUCAUAAAGGAUAUUGUACUCUUUUUCCUUCACUAAGGUUUUUUCCCACUGGGUUUUUCUUUAGUAAGGUUUUAAUGAAGCAUAAUCCUAAAUGGGCAUCCAAAGGGGGAGUGUUGUGAUAAGUAUAAAAGCUGAGUUGGAUGCACAUUAAUGUCUGGGUGGCUCAGCUUCUCAAUGGAAAAUGGCAUUAAAGAAAUGUUGAAAAAGUAAAGUAUGUUACCAUUAUAAAUAGCAGAAUGUUGUUUUAUAUUCGUACAUACAAAAACAACAGCAAUAUAAUAAUAUUCUCUUUCUUUCUCUUACUAUAAACAAAUGCUUAUUAUUGAGCUAAUUAUUUUAAUUUUAGAGUCUUCUAUUUAUACAUCUUUAUUUUAUAUAUAUCUUUUAUUUUACAACAGAUUUUACAUUUCUACAAUACUUCUUGACUUUCUUUCUUCCCAUACUUUCUUUCUCUCUCAUUACAUAAACUCAUGUUCAUCAGUUCAUGGUUAAUUAGUGAGAUUCAAAUUUUGAUGGAAGAAGAGUACUAAGAGAAAGUAGUACUGAAAAACAACCGGAUUCUUCACUAAGAAAGGACGUUUCAACUUUCAAUUUUUAUUAUUAUUAUUUUGAGACAAUACGAAUUUAUUAAAAAAAUGAUCAAAUAGUAUUAAAAAUUAUUUAUCAGAGAUUUUAUUUGUAAUGUAUGAAAAUUUUAACGGUUCCGCUAUGUUACCAACAGCAUAUCUGCCAACAUCUGCCAACUCUUAUUUAUAAUUAUGUUUCAUAGAAGUGUGUUCGUGGAUGUGUCUAAUAAAAAUAGUUUUUUUAUAGCUGUGUUUAAUAGAAGUGUCUUUAUAGAUAUAUUUUCUGGAUGUGUCUCUUUAUAUAUGUAUUUAAAAUAUAUUAAUUAUUAGACACAUCCACGAACACACUUCCAUGAAAUACAAUUAUAAACAAGAGUUGGUAGAAAUUGGCAAAUAAUAUGUUAGUACCCUAUACUUUUCCAAAUGUUAAACUCUCAACAAAAUUUUUUUAGUAAUAGAAUAAACUACUACCAUCAUUAUCACUACUUUCUUAAUUUUUGUUUUUAUAACUUUUAUCUUUAUUAUUUUUAUUGCGCAAUUAUACUUUAUCAUCAUUAUUAUUAUUUUUUCUACCACCAUCAAAACCAACACCAUUAACAUCAUCAUUAUCUUCUCUCAUUCUUAUGUGGUGCUAUUUUUUUUUGGAGGCCACUCAGAUAAACACGCUUAAAACGUCUUUUUUUAAAGAUAUUUUCAUGUUGUAUUUUAAUUGGUUUCUGUAUAAUUUAUUCGGUGUUCCUCAUCACAUAUUAUUAAAUUCCUCAAGCACUUUUUAUGUUUGGAUCAGAUAUCAAAUAUAUCCAUAAAAUAAAAAAUAUUAAAAAAUUUUAUUUUUAUAAAAAAAGUCAAUAAUUUUUUUGUUUACUUUUGUAAACAUAUUUACUUUUAUCUGAUUAGAGUGUGGAUCCGAUUCGAUCCAAUCUGAUCAUCUUACAGAUUAGAUCAUAUCCUCAAAUUACAGAUCAGAUACAGAUAAAUACUGUGGAUUUAUAUGGACAUGAUCUAAUCUAUGAACACCCCUAACUACUACUAUAGGUUCAUUGUUGCAAAAGAAUGCUUCUUUUAUUAUAAACCAUUAUUAGAUCUUAAUUACCAUUAAAAUAACUUAAUUGUCAACAAAGAGAUAAUACUUAUGGUCUCUGAAAUUAUGUUCGUAUUUGAAUCCAUAGUUGUAAAAAUCAAACUGGAUCGGUUGGUUCGACCGAAAAACUAGUGAACCGGACUAGAACCGAAGGGUUCGGUUCGAUUUACUCUUUGGACCGUUUAAGGAAUAAAAUUGGUGUGAACUAGUGCAAACCAGUCUAACCGAACUGGUCUGCUUGAAAAAAUUUUUAAAAUGUCUCGAACCAAGAACCUUGGAGCAAAAGCAACCUCUACUUGCCACUUAGCCAUUACACUUCUAAGUAUUAUAUUUGACAAAUACUAAUUAUAUAGUAUACAUAAAUAUCUAAUUUAAUUUAAUUUUUGUUUUUUCUAUUUUUAAAAUUAAUUAUAUUUUAAUUAUAUACCAUUAUUAAUAUAAAUAUAAAUUUCACUAAAAAUUUAUUAAUUUACUUGAUCUAUUUUAUUACUAGUAUUGUGAUUAAAGUUAUUUGUUUUGAUGUUAGUGUUAAAAUCUACUGAUAUUAUAGUUAGAUGAUAGGCUUUGUGAAUUAAUUAUUUUUUUAUUGUGUCAAAAUAAGAUACUAUUGUAGUAUUAAAAUUUUAUGAUUUUUUUAUAUUAGUUAUUUUUAGAAGUUGAGACUUGAUUCUUCAUAAAAUGUUAGUGAAGAUAUGUAUUUUAACUUUUAAUUUUAAGUUUUUAACUAUUUUAUAUUUUAUAUUUAUGUGAGACCGGUUUUAUCGGUUCAAUCAGUGAUUUAUCAGUUGAACCAAUAAACCAGUGAACCAGUAGCUUGACCGGUUCGAUCACUGGUUCGGUUCUAACAACUAUGUUUCAAUCUAAUUUCAAAAAUUUUGAUUUACUCAAUUUAGUCUCCCAACUUAAUAGUUAUGACUCACAUUGGUUCCUAAUCUUAUUUUUGUCACUGUCUCACAAAAUCGUUAACGACAUGCUGAGAUGGACUAACGACUAUUACAUUAUACAUUCUAGCGACUAUUGGAUGUGACAAUUGAAAUUUUUUUUACCUUAUUUUUUUUCAACUAAACACUUAAAACCCUAAUAUGAGUCACGGAUACCUAAGUUAAAAAAUCAAACUAAGUAAAUUGAAACUUUAAAAAUCAUAUUAAAGUUCGAAUAUAACUUCAAAACAGAACUUUAACUUAUGUAGUGAUUAAUUUAAAUGAGAAUCAAAUAAAUCAAAAUUCAACAUAAUUUUUAUCAAUGUUUUCAAAUUCAAAAUUUUUAUACCAAAAUUAACUAGGAUUUUUCUUUAAAUUAAAAAUUUAAUAAAAUAGUGACUUUAAUUAUCUUAACCAAUGUCCUAAUUAAUUACUUUUAUAUCUUAAAAAAAACUGUAUAUGAGAAGAAAAUAAUUAAUUUAUCUACUUUAAUAAAUAGUUAUUUUACUAAAAUGAAAGAAACUAUUUUUUUAGAAUUUUUUAAGAAUUAAUUAAUAUUAUAUAUAUUUUGUUACACUACAUUUAGUUAUAAAAAUUUUAUUUAUUUCUAAUUCUUAUAUUAAAAAUAAAAANNNNNNNNNNNNNNNNNNNNNNNNNNNNNNNNNNNNNNNNNNNNNNNNNNNNNNNNNNNNNNNNNNNNNNNNNNNNNNNNNNNNNNNNNNNNNNNNNNNNNNNNNNNNNNNNNNNNNNNNNNNNNNNNNNNNNNNNNNNNNNNNNNNNNNNNNNNNNNNNNNNNNNNNNNNNNNNNNNNNNNNNNNNNNNNNNNNNNNNNNNNNNNNNNNNNNNNNNNNNNNNNNNNNNNNNNNNNNNNNNNNNNNNNNNNNNNNNNNNNNNNNNNNNNNNNNNNNNNNNNNNNNNNNNNNNNNNNNNNNNNNNNNNNNNNNNNNNNNNNNNNNNNNNNNNNNNNNNNNNNNNNNNNNNNNNNNNNNNNNNNNNNNNNNNNNNNNNNNNNNNNNNNNNNNNNNNNNNNNNNNNNNNNNNNNNNNNNNNNNNNNNNNNNNNNNNNNNNNNNNNNNNNNNNNNNNNNAUAAAUUAAUUAUAUAAAAAUUUUAAGAUAUAUAUAUAUAUAUAUAUAUUUUGAUGAAUGUGAUAUAUUUUUUUAUGUAAAUAAUCUUUUAAAAAAAAUCUAAUAGUUAAUUUAUUAUUUUUUGUUUUAGUCCAAAUUAAAUGUUUUUUAUUGUUUUUGGAAAGAAAAUCUUUUGACGAAUUUAAUAAUAUGUGAUGAGGAACACCAAAUAAAUUAUACAGAAACCAAUUAAAACAAAACAUGAAAACAUCUUUAAAAAAAGACAUUUUAGGCGUCUUUAUCUGAGUGGCCUCCUUUUUUUUUUUAAAACUGCAAUUACUUUUUUCUUUUUACGACAACAUUUCAUACAAUGACUUUCGUCUCUAUUUGAUCACCACCGAUAAGAGAAUUAAAAAAAAAUUACUAAUAAUUUAUGNGUAUAAAUUAUAAAUAAAAUUUCUAUAAAAUUAAUUUUUAUUAUUAUUUAAUAAAUUUUUAGCGAAGAGUUCAUAUGAUCUCAAAAUAACGAUAUUAGGGAUCAAAAUGUCGUUUUUUUAGUGAUCACAUUAUCUUUCGUAAAAAUUAACAAGUAUUCGAAACAAGUAUUUUCUCACGAAAGUGUUAUAUUUUUAGAAGCCAAUAGAUUCAUAGUUUUGCAUAGCAAAGGUUGACCAUACAUUUUUAUAGAAGCUUGUACAUCGUUUAAUAAGGCUUAGGGGAAAAUUAACAAGCGAAGGAAAACUGAGAUUUUAGAAUUACCCAUAGCUUGAACUGUGUAGUUUUGAGCUCUGUAGGCCGUUCCUUUUGCAGAGGAACUUCUGGAUGUACUUAGCUUGCAUUGUAUGAUUAUAUAUAUUCACAAAAUAAAAUAAAUGUCGACACAAACAUUCACUCUUGUGCAAUAUAAUCAUGUAGCACAAUCAGUUUAAUAUUGUAAAGGCUUUGAUUAUUGCUAGUUUCCAAUAAUGUCAGCAUUAUUAUUAUUAUGCUUGAACCAUGGAUGAUUAAGGAACACAUCCUGGUCAAUUCCAGACAGAAACUUCUCCAGGGAGAUGGGGUCUGUCUCACCAUAUAAUAAAUUAUCGGUGUCCAUCAAUAAUAAUCUUUCAUACUCUCUGUCAAUUUCUUCAUCGCUAGAAAAUUGAUUAGCUAGUUGACUUUUAUAACAUUGACUCCUUGUUCCUUCUUGCACAGUAUACUCUAUCCCGUUGUUGAUGUUCAUCAUCGGUGAUUGAUGAACAUUGCCACAAUAAUUCUCAACACCAAGACACGAGGAAUUCUUCAUCAUGAAAUUAUUCCCUAGUAUAUCAUCUAUCUCCCUUUGCAAGCUUGCAACCUGCCCAUAACAAGGUUAAAAUAUGUUACUCUCUGUUCACAAUAUCACUCAUUCAUUUUGAUUAUUCACACACUAAUUAUCAACCUAAAAUUAAGAAUUGAUUACAAAAAUAUUGUUGAUUAGUUAUACUUUUCUUUUUGUAAAUUAACUUUAUUUUGUAUGACCAAUUUAUUGUAUAGAUGUUUUAUUGUUUAUUAAUACUUUUUAACUUAAAAAAGAUUAGAAUGACAUACGUUAUCUAAACUAUAUGGUAGGUGUGACAAGAUAUAAGAAAGUUGAUGGAUUGGAUAAUAAUUAAUUAAGAGGAGCUACUCAGAUAACGAUGUCAAAAACGUCUUUUUUUUUAAGAUGUUUUGUAAUAAUUAAAAUUUAACACAUAUAACCGAUUAAAUUGUGUUAUUUUUAUUAAAAUUAGAUUGGACAAAUUAGUUUAAUCGAAAAAUCAAUAAAUUAAAUUUUGAAUCGGUCUAAAUUAAUUUUUUUUUAUAAAAAAUGACUACAAUAUUCCUAUUAUAAAAAUUAACUAAAAUACUCAUAUAUAUAUUGAAAACUCUAAAUCCUAACCCUAUAAUGGUAGAAAAGAAAACGGAUAAAAUUUAAAAUUUUCAUCAAAAUUAAUAUAUAUAAUAGGAGUAUUUUAGUCAUUUUCUAUAAUAAGAAUAUUGUAGUCAUUUUUUAUAAAAAAAUAAUAUUAAUUUAGAUUAGUUUAAGAUUUGAUUCACUAUUUUUUCGGUCAAAUUAAUUUGUCUGGCUUAAUUUUGAUGAAAAUAAUACGGUUUAAUCGAUUAUAUGUAUUAAAUUUUAAAUAUUAAAAAAAUAUUUAAAAAAAAUAUUUUAAAUAUCUUUAUUUGAGUAGUUCUUUUAAUCCAGAGUACCUGUUGCUGCAAUAGAUAGAUAUAAGCAACACAACCAUAGAUAGGAUCGUGCAUGCGAGCGAGAGCUUGGUAAGUUAUGGUGAUAGCAGCGUCACUUCUGUUGUGCAACGGAAGGUGUAGCAACAGUCUAGAGACGUUGCUAGCACCAAACACCUUAUGAACUGCCGCAAAAUGGGUUGAUGCCUCAUCAUAGGAGAAGUAAGGAGAAAAUACACAAUCUCUUGUGCAUCUUCUCCUUAGGUACUUGCAUGCUCCACAUGAAGACCCAAACCCUUUCAUGACUUAUAUAUAUUAAUACUAUUUAUUGCUUUACUAAUUUUCUUAGUAGUACUAGCUAUAGAUUAGUUUUCUCUAUGGAGACGAACUCGUGACUCCGCUACUUCUUAUAGCCGCCCCAACACUUGGGAUAUAUAGAUGGCCAACUAUUUUUUUUUAUUAUCAUUGAAUUCAAUUUAUAAAUCUCACUUAUCUACUCUUCUUACUUUUAUAUUUAAAGAUAGAGCAAUGUUACACUUCUAAAUUUUUUUAUAAACUAAAUCUAACUAAGUUAAACAAUAAAACUUAAAAUAAUAUCAUCUAUAAUUAAUUUUUAUUGAUGUUAGAUCAAUUUGAUUGAACUUGAUUAACAAAAAUACUUUAAUGCGUAUUAUUCAUAUUUAAAAUGAGUCUAAAGUAAUAAGUACUGUAAAAAUAUUUGAUAACAAAAAAUAUUUAAAAAUAAUUAUUAUUUGGAUUAAUUUUUUUUGUCUCUUUAAUAUUACCAUAAAUAUUAAUAUGCAAGCUAUAUAACAUUAUUAAUUAAAACUUAUAUUUAAUUACCAAAAAUUUUGUAUUUUAGGUUGGUAUACUUUUGUCACUUAGAUUUUAAUAAUCAAUAUAAUAUAGAAAAUUUUUUCAGUAUAUCGAUAUACUGGUAUUUUAGUGAAUUUUAACCGUUAAUUUUAAUUUUAUAUAUAUUAUUAUCUAUUUUUUAUAAUUAAGAUCAAUGAUUAAAAGCUAACAAACUAUAACUCAAAUGUCAUAGUCUUCUCAUACUCACCUAGAGGUUGCGGAUUCAUUCGAGUCCUACUCUUAAUUAAAAGAAAAAUUAACGAUUUAAAAUUAUUAAAAUACUAAUAUACCGAUAUACUUAAAAAUUUUUCUAUAAUAUAUAUCACCUCUCUCUAGCACCUUAUUUUUUCUUUUUACUGUUGAGUUACUUUAGUUAAUGAUCAUAGCUACAUGCCAAAACUUUAGUUAAAUGGGAUUGAUCAUGCAGUUCAUUCCAAGGGCCUACUAAUUAAGUAAUUGAUUAUUAGAUAAGCAUGAUCAUUUGUCGUGUAAAAGCUAUAUAAGUUUGGUUUAAUCUUACUUAAGAGAAAUUCAAGGUUCACUAUGCUUCAUGGAGGUAUCAUGUCAAUCAAAAGCUAAGGCUGAAGGUAUAUAGAAGCUCUAUCAAAGUAUCAAUCGUUUUCUGAUGAGAGAAAAGAAGCUAGCUAGAGAGAAGAAAAACACUUUAUAGUAUGUAACACAUUAUAUAAUAGCUUAUUUAAUUUAAANNNNNNNNCAUAAAUAAAAAAUUUAUAAUUUAUUGAUAGAUAAACAAUAUAUAAAAUUGAUCUUUUCAAAUAUUUUUAAAAAUAUAUAAAUUAUAAUUUAUUGAUAUAAAAUUAUAGAUUAUGUAUCUAUGUUUCUCUUAUUUGAGCUAGCUCGUGAGCUCGAGCCAGCUUGUGAGCUUUUGGUGAGCUGAGCUUGAGCUUAAGAAAUAAGCUCGAUUGUUAAUGAGUCGAGCCGUGAGCCAAGCUCAAUUUUUGUGAGCCGAGCUUGAGCUUGGUCUAGCUCGGCUCAGCUCGGCUCACUUCCAGCCCUACCUGGGAGAUCAUCUUAUAAUGGCAGAUGACCAGAACGAGGAAGGACAUACUGCAUCGGAGUUGGAGCAAGAGCAUCAAGAUGCAGUCAACAAUUACAGAGCAAUAAUAUCUCUGCAAGGAGCGGACAGACAACAUAGAGAAGGCCCCUCAGGCGUUCAAGAUUCAAGAAGAAUCUCCUCUGAGGUGCACGAGCCAGAGAAGGAGGGACAACCUCACGCUGCCGAUCUCAUGGGGCUGCUACACGGCCACCAAAGACGGCUAGAACAGCUGGAACAAGAUCUGAAACGACAGCGAGAAGCGGAGAGAAACCUAAGGAGAGAAGUUGAGCGACGAAACAAGAUUGAAGAAAAGCUCUUAAAACUAGAAUCCAACCUCUGAAAUAGGAGUUCUCGCGUUGACCGAGAAGACACCCCAUUGAGGGGAGAAGAUCCAUUCAGUGAAGAUAUCAUGAGGGCAAAAGUUCCAAAGAACUUCAAAAGCCCUGAUAUGGAUCUGUACGACAGGACCAUCGACCUAAAACACUACCUUAGCAACUUCAAAUAUCAGAUGUAUCUAGCUGAUGCCUCCGAUGCUACCCGCUGCAAAGCCUUUCCAACGACUUUGACAAAGGCGGCGAUGAAGUGGUUCAAUAGCCUCCCCCCUAGGUCGGUCACCAGCUUCGACGACCUCUCGCGUAAGUUCCUUAUGCAGUUUUCAAUCCAGAAGGACAAAGUCAAUCACGCGCCUAGUCUACUGGGAGUAAAACAAGAGGUCGGAGAACCCCUGAAAGACUACGUGGAAAGGUUCAACAAGGCGUGCUUAGAAAUUCAGGACCUGCCUACUAAAGCAGUAAUAAUGGGUCUUGUCAAUGGACUUCGAGAAGGACCUUUCUCGCAGUCCAUCUCCAAGAGACACCUGACCUCUUUGAGCGAUGUACAAGAAAGAGCCGAAAAGUACAUCAACAUGGAAGAAAAUGCCAGACUGCGCGAAUUGAGCUGGCGAUCUGGGUACCCUCACUCAUCAAGGGAAAAGGAGAGGGAGCCCAAGAAGAAAGAAGAAGUCGGGUCUGAAAGGCCCAGAAGAUAUCAUUCUUACACACCCCUACGAGUUUUCCUAGUCGAUAUUUACAGAAAAAUUUGUCACACUGAAAAGUUACAUCCCCCUCGGCCUAUAAAGAACAAGAAGGGGGGGGGGAGUCGUAACGAAUACUAUGAAUAUCACAAGUUAUAUGUUACGACUUAAAAAAUGUGAUAGAAAAGCUGGCCAGGAAAGAUCGGAUAAUCAUGGAAAGAGGAAACGAGAUGAGGAAGAUCGGAGAGAUCCGCCACCAUAGACCCCGGAACGACAUAUACAUAUGAUCUCGGGAGAGUUUGCUGGGGAAGGACUCACCAAAUCAUCUCGUAAAAGACAUCUGAAGGAAGUUUUCCAAGUCGGGAGUAAACUACCCGAUCUCCCAACCAUCUCUUUCACCAAAGAAGACGGGCAAGGCAUUGUUCUCGGGCAUGACGAUCCGGUGGUAAUUACCAUGAUCCUCGCUAAUGCUCAUCUACAUAGAACCCUGGUGGAUUAGGGAAGCUCGGCAGAUAUCCUGUUCAAGCCAGCGUUUGAUAAGUUGGGAUUAGACGAAAAGGAGUUAAGGGCAUACCUUGACACCUUCUACGGAUUGGGGGACACACCAAUAAAACCACUGGGAUUCAUACCCCUACAUACAACUUUUGGAAAGUGGAUGAAAUCCAAGACUCUGAGCAUCGACUUUAUUGUCGUCGAUGUGGGUUCGACUUAUAAUGCCUUGAUAGGUAGAACGACCCUAAAUCGUCUUGGAGAAGUGGUAUCUACCCCCAUCUUUGCAUGAAAUUCCCAACACUUAAGGGAAUUGCAACCAUCAGGGGAGAUCAGAAGCUGGCGAGAAAGUGUUACAACGAAAGCCUAAACCUGAGGAAUAAAGGCAAGGAAGUGAACACCAUUGAGCUCGGAGGCAUCCGAGUUAAAGAAGAAUUACGACCACAGCCCGGAGAGAAGAUUGAAGAGGUACAGAUCAGGCAAGAAGAUGGAAAGAAUACCAAUAUAGGAGCCAAUUUAAAAGGAGAUUUGAAGCAAAAGCUGGUAAGACUCCUACAAGAGAACUCCGACCUCUUCACCUGGAAAGCUUCCGACAUACCCGGGAUAGAUUCUGAGCUCGUGACGCAUAAAUUGUUGGUAUACCCAGGAUCCAGACCUAUUCAACAAAGGAGACGAAAGCUCGGUCCUGAGUGGGCUCAAGUGGUCGAAGAGCAAAUACAAGCCCUCCUAGAGGCCGGCUUUAUUAGAGAAGUCAAGUAUCCGGCCUAGUUGGAAAAUGUGGUGCUAGUCAAGAAGCAGAACGGCAAGUGGAGGAUGUGCGUUGACUACACCGACCUGAACAAAGCGUGUCCAAAAGACCCAUAUCCUCUUCCAAAUAUUGAUGCCCUAGUAGAUUCCAGCUCGGGAUAUCAAUACUUGUCGUUCAUGGAUGCGUACUCGGGAUAUAAUUAAAUCCUGAUGUACAUGUCGGAUCAGGAGAAGACAUCUUUCAUCACGCCUAGAGCGAAUUACUGCUAUGUGGUCAUGCCCUUCGGGUUAAAAAAUGCAAGAGCCACAUACUAAAGGUUGAUGAACAAGGUGUUCGCACCUCACUUUAGGAGUUUAAUGGAAAUAUAUGUGGACGACAUGUUAAUAAAAACCAAGGAUGAGGCCAGCCUCCUGACCGAUCUCUCACAAGUCUUCAGCACCAUAAGGGCGCAUGGGAUGAGAUUGAAUCCCGCAAAGUGCACCUUUGCAGUGGAGGCUGAAAAAUUUCUAGGAUUUAUGCUAACACAAAGGGGGAUAGAAGCUAACCCCAACAAGUGUAGUGUAAUCCUAGAGAUGAAAAUUCUGGCUUGCCUGAAAGAAGUCCAGCAGUUAAACGGCCGGCUUGCAACUCUGUCCAGAUUCCUAGCAGGAUCAGCGUUGAGAUCCCUUCCGCUCUUUUCUCUACUAAGGAAAUGAUGCAAGUUCGAAUAGACUUCUGGAUGCGAAGAAGCUUUUCAGGAUUUCAAAAGGUUUUUAAGCCAACCUCCUGUUCUGACCCGACCUAAAAUCGGGGAAGAACUCGUCUUGUAUUUGGCUGUAGCCGAAAAAGUUAUGGCGCCAGCAUUGAUACGGGAGGAUGAGGUCGGGCAGCAUCCUGUAUACUUCACCAGUAAAGUUUUGCAAGGCUCUGAGUUAAGGUAUCAAAAACUUGAGAAGUUUGUGUAUGCCUUAAUAGUGGCGUCUCAAAGGCUACGGCCUUAUUUUCAAACUCAUACAAUAAAAGUUCGAACGAACCAGCCCAUGAAGCAAAUUCUUCUAAAAACAGAUAUUGCGGGAAGAAUGGUUCAAUGGGCUAUAGAACUAUCCGAGUUCGACCUGAAGUAUGAAACUCGGACAGGAUUAAAGCCCAAUGCCUGACCGACUUCAUGGCAGAAUACGCGGGAGAUCAAGAGGAGGCCUCCACAACUUGUGAGUUGUAUGUGGACGGCUCUUCCAAUAAAGUCGGAAGCGGUGCAGGCAUGAUACUGGUCAACCAAGAGGGGACCCAAAUAGAAGUCUCCCUCAAAUUUGAAUUCUUGGCCUCCAACAAUCAGGCCAAAUAUGAAGCCUUGAUUGCCGGGUUGAAGUUAGCAGAAGAAAUCGGUGCAACCAAAGUAGUGGUCUUCAGUGACUCUCAAGUGGUGACUUCUCAAAUCAACAGAGAGUAUCAGGCUAAAAACCCAAACAUGAAAAGGUACUUAGACAAAACUUUGGAGUAUCUUAGGCGAUUCUCAGAGACCGAGGUCAGACACAUAACCCGGGAGCUUAAUAGCAGAGCAGACGUCCUCUUCAAGUUAGCAAGUACCAAGCCAGGAGGAAAUAAUAGAAGUCUAAUCCAGGAAACCCUCCAAGAGCCCUCUGUCACGAAAACGGGGGCUAAACAAGAUGUCUUAGAGGUAUCCGGAUUAGACUUUGGGUGGAUGGCCCCAUUAAUCGAAUACAUAAAAUUCGACAUCCUACUCAAGGGGGAAAAAGAAGCCAAGAGAAUCCGAAGGGAGGCACAAAGUUACACCUUGGUGAAAAAUAUCCUUUAUAGAAGAGGAAUAUCCACACCAUUGCUGAAGUGCGUCCCAAUCUCAAAGAUGACAGAAUUUUUGGAAGAGGUGUACAAUGACAUCUGCGAAAAUCAUCUCGAAGCAAGGUCUUUAGCCAGAAAAAUUAAUAAUUUUACUGGCCGACCUUGCAGAAGGAUGCUAUCGACUUUGUGAAAAAAUGUUAGGCAUGCCAAAUGCAUGCUAACUUUCAUGUCGCUCCCCCCGAAGAACUUAUCAGCAUAACUUCUCCAUGGCCUUUUGUAAAACGGGGACUGGACCUACUCAGACUUUUUCUCCAAGCGCCAGGACAAGUAAAAUACCUCAUAGUGGGAGUAGACUACUUCACGAAGUGGAUCGAAGCAGAAUCCUUAGCCACCAUCACAUCGUAGAGAGGUCGGAAGUUCCUCUAUAAGAAUAUCAUUACCAGGUAUGGAAUCUCCCAUUCCAUCACCACGGAUAAUGACACCCAGUUCACCGACUCUACAUUCAGAAACUUGGUAGCCAGUAUGAAGAUCAAGCAUCAGUUCACCUCGGUUGAGCACCCACAAGCGCACCCACAAGCAUCAGUUCAUACUGGCCAGAUUGAAGAAAAGGCUUCAAGAUGCAAAGGGGGGCUUAGGCCGAGGAGCUCCCUCAAGUGUUAUGGGCAUACCGGACUACACCUCAAUCUGCCACUGGAGAAACACCCUUCCGACUUGCUUAUGGCAUAGAAGCCAUGAUACCAGUUGAAGUCAAUUAGCAAAGUCCAAGGGUGAGGUUCUAUAAUGAGGUCGACAAUAUUCAGGCACAUAACGAAGAACUCGAGCUACUCCUAGAAAUUCAAGAACAGACCCAGAUAAGGGAAGCAGCGCUCAAGCAAAGGAUGACGAGUAGAUACAACAAGAAAGUCAUUCGUAGAAACUUCACCUUAGAUGACUUGAUUUUGAUUCGUAAUAACAUUGGAGUAAACAAAUCAGGUGAAGGAAAGCUCGCCGCCAAUUGGAAGGGGCCAUACAGGAUAAUUGAAAUACUCGGAAAAGGGUAUUACAAAAUAUCCGACCUGAAUGGUACCGAGCUCCCCAGGUCGUGGCACGCCUGCAACAUGAAGAGAUAUUAUAGCUAGAAGCGAACUCUGCUCCCUGAUGUACUCUUUUUUCUGACUUCACUAAUUUUUCCAAGAAAGAGUUUUCCUGAAGGGGGUUUUAACUAGGCAUCAAAGUGGGGACUAAGGGUUAAAAGUUGUAAAUCCCUUAGUAGCUAAAACAACUUUUGUAAAAGUUAUCUCCAUCAUCGACGAGCAUUUAUUUUAUCUCUUCAUAAAUCCGUUAUUAUUAUUAGGUUUAAUUACUUUGCUGGUCCCUAUAGUUUCGCAAAAUUUUCAAUUAGGUCCCUAUACUUUUUUUUCUUUUAAUUGAGUCCUUGCACCAAUUUUUUUUUAAUUGGGUCCCUACACUUUUUUUUCCUUUUAUUUAGGUCUCUGUACCAAUUCUUUUUUUAGUUGGGUCCCUAUAAAUUUAAGCCAAUUACUACUAAGAGGGACUUAAUUGAAAAAAAAAUUGGUGCAGGGACCCAAUUAAAAAGAAAAAAAGUAUAGGGACCUAAUUGAAAAUUUCACGAAACUAUAGGGACCAACAGAGUAAUUAAACCACCUUAUUAUUAUUCUAUAAAACGCACCGAUUUAAGCUCGAAAAAGCGUGAAAAUUUCUUGACCGACCUGAGUGGUCGGCGAGAUAAAACGAUGAGGUACAAGUCGGUGUAAAGAGGUUACAAAAGACGAUCAUGAUAACUCGGAAAUAAUAUCGUUAACGACUCACAAGUCGGAAAGCCCGAGAAAAAACAAAAUGCAUCGCAAAAAUAACCUAAGUUAUGAAAACAAUUCAAUAAACAAAAUUGAAUAUGUAAAGUCAAAACAAAAGAGAUACAAAAAUCCCUCAAGGAUAGAACCGAAGGUUUUCUCAAAAUUACUCGGCAAAAAGUUUUCGAAAAGUUUUGGACGAUAGUGAAAUUGUCUAACUUAGAUAAAACAGUCCAUAUGACGAAAAGCUUUCUUUGUAAACUUGAAAGAUCAAAACAAUAGAGGUUUUUCACAAAAAGCCUUAUAAAGUUAAAAGAUCAUUCAACAAAAUUUUUUUUUCAUCAAGCAUAAAAAACGUCAGCAAGCAUACAUAAUAAAAAUAUUUUUGUUAAAAAGCCCUUACCCAAAAAAAGGACCAGCAAAACAAAUAAUUGUUGUUAAUGACCCUAUUAGGGAUCAAGUGUCAGAAGCCCCCACAUAAAACAAACACAUAAAAAUAAAUUGUUCAAAACGGGCCCACAAGUCAGCCCUAGUAGCCAAAAAUCAUUGAAAACCAAGAAGAGGAUUGGAGUCAUCAGCUGGAAUGGAGCUCGAGUCUGCUGCAGGAGUCGAAGGGAUCUCAUCGGCCAUAGUAGUCAGAGCAUCGUCUGGUCGAGAAGAAGAGCUCGGCAAGGAUCCUUCAAUUUGCUCAACCUCAUGGGGAGGAGAUUCAAUAACGCGCUGCCCACGAGUCUUCAACUCGGAAUCGGUCUCAGGACGAGGAGGGGAGACAAUUUCUCUAUUAAUGACCACUUUGUCAAGAUGGAGGGGUGAAAGGUCCAAGUCAAGAGCGAUAACUCCGACUUGUUCCUUGAACACCCUGAAUGCCUCCUCCGAGCUCUCAAUAAUAGAAUCCUCCUCCAGGUCCUAAUAGGCCUCCCGAUUCGACUCCAGUUGCUUCUGCAGAUCAAUAUUCUCAGAAAAAUCCUCACAUAAUUUUUCUCAGCCUUGCUCUUCAUCCCUUCAGCCAAAGCACAUUGGGCCAUUAACUUUUUCUCCUUCUCCUGGAACUGAGCGAGCUCAUCUUUCAGCCAGGUUUUCUCCUCCUACAAUCUCUUCUCUUCUUCCUGGUAUAGGACAAUCCUCCCUUGAAGAUCCUCUAUGGACUUCCAAGUAGUACUCAAGGGAGUUUUGUCCAAAAUAUCAAGGAGAGAAGUACAAACCCCAGCAGUCCGAAUUCCACCUCGGAUCAAGAUGUUAAGAUGAUUUCGGAGAGCAGCAUAGCAAUUUGGCUAUAAGGAAGGAUGUGCCUCCUAGCAAACUUUGGACCAUCGAACCCAGCAUCCCCAACGCUAGAGGAGUCGGAUUCCAUGGUUUUUCAUUUUUUUUCUCAAGCUCCGAGGUGGACUGAGCUGGGGGAGGAGGAGGAGGAGGAGGAUGAGGAGGAGGAGUAAUAGGAUUUACCAAAAGGGGCUGAGAGUAUGACCCCAGACCCGAGCUUUGACGACGAGGGGGAGUGGAUGAGACCCCGACUUCCUGCGCAGCAGCUCGGGCGCGAGCCUUCCUCUUCGCCUCCUGGACCUUCUGGUAAGCAGCGCUUGACCUGCUUUUCACCAUUUCUGAAAGAAAGAAUAAAAGUUGAUUAGCCUACACACCGGAAAAGAACACAUUGCAAGUCAGAAUUCAUCAAAAGCAGCCACAAAGAAAACUACCUAGCUCGGUUUGGAUGAAACUCGAAGGGCCAAGAAGGAAUUUCUUAGUAACUAGGUUCGGAGCUCGCCCCCAAGCCUCUCGAAAAAACCCAAAAAUGGCCUCCUCUACCUCAUCCAAGUCAUCUAGGCUAUAUUUAUCAACCGGGGAGGCCUCCAACCAGUAUAGAGGAAAUUGGGGUUCAUUGUUCUCAUUCAAGAAAAAAGGAUGAUGACCUUCUACGGCCUGGAUCUUGAAGAAAAAGUUUUUGAAGUCCUAAAAGGAUUCAUCAAAGAUGGAAAAAACUUUCCGACCUCGAAUAGCCCGAAAAGACACCCACUGCUGUUUGUUUUGUUUAUUGGAAGCACUAAAGGACUUGGUCAAGUAGAAGAGAUAGAAAAAGAUUUUUAAAGAAAUCGGAAAAUCAAGCUCUUGCCUCACAAGUUGGUAAAUCUUCAUAAAACCCCAAGAAUUGGGACGAAGCUGGGUAGGGGCAACUCGACAAUGAGAUAAAACUCCCAUCUCAAAGUCGGAAAAAGGAAAGGAAACCCCCAAGCGGGUAAAAAGGCAAUCAUACAUGAAAAAGAAGUGAGGCUCAGAAUCAUUGAUCCUCCCACAGCGAAACCGAUCGUCAGUAUCUGGGGCCACUAGUUCGUAUUUUGGUUUGUCAGCAUCAAGGAUACAAAUCCUAUGGUAUUUGCGGAGCUCGGUUAAGAAAACAGUAUCCACUAGAGGGUGUUUAGAAAGCACGGAGGAAUCUACCCAUCUUAAAAGGGUCUUAGGGAUACGAGAAGACAUUUUUCCAGAAAAAUAAAAUAUAAGGAAAUAUACCUACAUGACACAAAAGAAAAGAAACCAUAAAAAAAUAGGGUUCUAACAACAAGAUAGUUCUUUCAUAGCAGAUAAAGGAAACAGCCAGCAAGCAGUAAAAGAAAAUAACUUUUCUAAGAGCAGAACAUAGAAAUCCCAAAGUUUCUCACUACAACAGCAAGCAUGCAUCAAAGAUAUAGCUUAAAACUCCCUUCCUGACAUACGGUACACCAAACGAGAAUAAAAGAAAAUACGGUGAAAACAACAAAGGAAAGCAAGAUAAGAAGAACUAACCUUCUUUGUAAAGUCACCAAAGGGAAGAGUUCCAGUAGCCGAGGUAAAGCACCCGCGAACGAAAGGUCAAAGGGAGUUUUAAGUGAAAGAGUGAAAAGAGCAGGGAAAGAAACUCCGAAGAGAAGACGAAAGAAAACAAAGAAAGGAGAGGAAAAGUAUUUAUAACGUACUAGGGGCAUAACAGUAAAACGACAUUGUCAUUAAAGAAACACACCGUUACCAAUGUAACUGCCCCCCUCUCCCCACGUGUAAAUGUAAGCUCCGAACGGACGCGACGUUUGAUUAGACACGACGGUUGAGAAAUUCAAAAUCACGUCGGUUCUAAACUAAAAUCACGUCAUUUUUCCGACUUGAAUAGACCCGAGUUCAAUUAAUACUCGAAUCCAACUCAUAGCUAAGAGAUCGGACUCAAGUAGGGACAUUGUUCAUGCCCUGCUCCAAUACUAUGGUCCAGGCCCAAGUAAGUUAAAAAAGACCCAAUCCAAAAGAUAGCCUUUACCGCUUACCCGACCUCCUCAAAGAGGUCGGAUUCGACAUGAGCUGGUAGAUAACACUUAUACAUAUAAGUAACUACCCCCUAAAAUCUCUCACCCACUUCUAAAAGAGAUAUCUUAACAACCCUAAGAUAAAGGGACGGUUAUCCACCUUCAGAAGUGGAACUACUCCAACGGUGGUUAUUGGAUCAUCACCUAUAAAUACACUGACACACUCAGGUAAACCUAAGUUCCAAUACACUAAAAACUUGCUAAAUCCUUUGCUGACUUAGGCAUCAGAGUGUCUUUGCAGAUACCACCCCCAUUCCGUCAAAUACACAACUCGAACGAUAAUUCUCAGACGUAAACCAAGUCGAAAACCACCUUCUUCUAAUGUUUGGGCCUUUCAUUCGAGUCCAAUCCAUCUAUUUCAUGUUACCCACGUAACAACUAUAUAUUUCAGUUAUUAAUAGAAGGGCGGAGUUGUGACAUAUAUUGUCACUUCAACUAAUUAAUCAUAAAUGUUAAAUACAUUAUUUUUGUAUAUUUUUUAUAUUAAAAGUGAUUAAUAGCGAUAAAAAUUUGAAACUAAACAAAAAAAAUCUAAAAAAGUAUGCAUAUAAUAAUAAAGUUUAAUUUUGAUGCAUUGAUAAUAUAAAAGAUUUUACACAGUUGUAUAAUUACAAUGCAACCGUUCUCUUAGAUGACCAUUUUCACGGUCAAUGUAAAAAUUAGUUAUUUUUGUUAAUAUGGUGUUAUAUAAUUGAAUGCACGUAUAAAACGGUUGUAUAUUGACAAUGCAUAAAAAUUGAAUUUAUAAUAAUAAAAGAGUGUCAUGUGACACAUUUUGGUUAUUAAAUUAGUUUUAUAAUAUAACUAUAUUUCAAUUUUAUUUUUAGUCGUAAUUAGAGAAUGUCAUAUUGUAUAUUUUGAUUGUCAAAUUAGUAAUUAAUCAUUGAUAAUGAUAUAUAAGAAAAAUAAAGUGAAUGAAAAACAAGAGAAAUAAAAAAUUUCUUUAAUUUUAGAAAAAAAUAUUUAAUUUUAAUUAAAAUAAAAAAAUAAUAUAUAAUCUAUUUUAAUUAUAAAAUUAGUAAUAUAUAAUAAAUAAAUUUUACCGUAAUUCAUAUAUAAGUAAAUGAUUACAUAAUCAACUUAGAGGUUGAUCUGGUAAUUAUUAUAUUAGUCUGUUUAAUUAAGUAUAAAGAUUUAAAUUUUGUGUACCUAUAAUUUAUUAACUAACAUUCUUAAAUAAAAUCUUAAUUUGCGUUGAAUUAAUUUUUUAUCAAUCGAAUUAAAAAAUAUCGUUAAAAAAAAAUAAAUGAUUACCUCAUGUGGCGACAUUUUUGUCUGCAUACUGUUAAUGGUCCAUUAUUUUCCCGAGUAUAAUCUUUGUUUAAUUCAAAUCUUACCUUAAUUCAGGUUUAGCUGUUGGCCACUCAACUGGCUGGGGUCGAUAAUCUACAAUCCACUCUUGUUAUUCCCGAAAUGUUUCUAACUUUAAGAAACCUGUAGUUAGAUUGUAUAAUUGUUAAUUAUUUGUUUUUCUAAUUAAUAUCUCUCUCAUUUUUAAAUUUAUUAAAAAAUUGAUAUAUUUAGACAAAAAAGUUAUCUAGUUACAUUUAUUUUUUAUUAAACCUAAAAAAAGAUAUUUAUUUUAAAAGUAUUAAUUGAAUUUAUCUNNNNNNNNNNNNNNNNNNNNNNNNNNNNNNNNNNNNNNNNNNNNNNNNNNNNNNNNNNNNNNNNNNNNNNNNNNNNNNNNNNNNNNNNNNNNNNNNNNNNNNNNNNNNNNNNNNNNNNNNNNNNNNNNNNNNNNNNNNNNNNNNNNNNNNNNNNNNNNNNNNNNNNNNNNNNNNNNNNNNNNNNNNNNNNNNNNNNNNNNNNNNNNNNNNNNNNNNNNNNNNNNNNNNNNNNNNNNNNNNNNNNNNNNNNNNNNNNNNNNNCUUAAAAUUACAAUUAAUAAAAAAUUAAUUUUUGAAAUAAAUAUAUUAAGGCUGGUUUGACAAAGCUUUCGAAAAAGUACUUAUGCGUUUUAACUCUUCAUUUUGUGUUUAGUAAAUCAAAAAGACUAUAUGUUUGUGUUUGUAACUUUUAAAAGAUUCGAUACUUUUAAAAGCACCUAAAAUAGAGCUUUUCAAAAUUAGUUAGUGCUUUUCAAAAUUUAAAAGUCUAAUAUAACUUUGUAUGUUAACUAAUUUUUAAAUUUAAUGGUUACAUUUAUGUCUGUUAUAAUAUUUUUAAAUUUUAAAAAUUAUUUUAUCAAAUGUAAUUAUUGUUACUUGUGUUUAUUGAAAGCUAUUUUUAAUUUAAUUUACCAAACAUAAAUACUAUAAUUUUUAAAAAGCCAUCUUUUAAAAAUUAAUUUUUAUAAACUACCUUUAAAAAAAUAAAAAUUUUACCAAAGUAAGCCUAAAAAUUUAACUUUUUAUUAUUAUACUCUUAACAUAUGCUUAAAAACACAUCUUAGUUAGAUUUUUCAAUUUUUUUUUUAUUGAUAACAUUAACAGUGACGACCUUGUCAACUUAAAGCUUGUUAAUAAUUAUGCAAGACAUACUAAUAGUAGUACUCCUUUACAAACAAAGUUACCACGAAGAGAAUCUAAAUUUCUUAACUUCGCCCACACUAACUAAUAUAUAAAGACACCAAUAACAACUUACAGUGACGAACUUAUUCAUAUUACUGUCUAUCAUGUGAUUAUCUAAUAAUAAGAUGUGGGGAUAAAGGAGAGGAUGUGGUGACGAGGAAGCUAAGAAAGGCUAAAGGAGGAGGCGAUAGACAACACCACUUUCAUAUUCACAACUUUCUGGUUUCUGUCACUCGAAUGUGUUCUUAUCUUUGACCUAUGGUCAUGCAUGUACGCGCGAAUGGAGGUUUGUGAAGAGAAAUAUAUAUAGUUGAUGUCUCAUAUAAACUUAAUGCAUUAGAUUAAUUCAUAACGAAUAAACAUAUUAAUUAGGGGCGUGAUUGCAUUAAUUUUAAUUUGCAAUUUAAAGUAAGUGAUUCAUGUGUGGCAAUAUUUUUUUUCAAAGAUGAUUUUGACAAAAUUAAUAAAUAUCUCACGAAUGCUUUUAACAAAUCCGAAUUGUUUUCGAGAUAAAUGGAGAAGAAAAAUUUGUUCGCUUACAUGAUACAAUUGAUUUCGAGCUAAUAACAUGGUUUUGAAAAUCGAACUGAUUGGUUCAAUCGUGUUAAUUGAGAAUUGAUCUUCUAAUUGAUUCGGUUGACAUAAAAAAUUAUUCUGCCAAAAAUGAAUGAAAAAAUUAGUCGAAUUGGUAGUUAAUCGAUAAAUUGUCGAAAUUAAUCUGAUUUUUAGAAAGUUAAUAAUGGUUCGCUUUUUUUUUUUGUUUAAAUUCCCCAAAAUGGCGCCAUUUCAAUUUAAAAAAAAAAAAGAAAAUGCUCCCCCCUCUCUGAGACUCACAAUUCCAACGAUCUAACUUUAAACCUUUGACUAUAGUAGCCUAACUACUAAAUUCAAAUUCAUUAUCGAGCUCUUUUUCUGUGGUAGAGGACGUUGUCGUUGUCGGCUAAGACAGCAGGUGUUGUCGUCGCUUGUGAAAGAUUUGCUCGCUUCUCGUCGCUUGUGAAAGAUUUGCUCGCUUCUCCUCGAUGUCACACGAAAGCCUACUCGGAGCGGUUGGCAUUGCCGUCUCGAAGGACUGUUCCGUCGUCGUCUCUACUCGAUUUGUUGGUGCUCUGUGUGUGUGUGUGUGUGUGUGACGUUUCUCUUUGCUCGGCUAUGGAGUAUUCGUCACAUCAUCACCUCCCUUCCUCCCUCGCCUCUGGUAAGCACCGCUGCUUCAAUUAUUUUGGUUAUUUUCUUAAUUUUACUUAUUUUGAUUUCUGAGUUGUUAAUGGUGCUAUGGUGCAGUGCUUCACUGCAUUGUUUAUAUUGGAAUUUGUCUGAUUUUGAGUUAUUUAUGCUGAUUUUUCUGAUUCUAAAUUGUUGAUACUUGAUAGUGCUGAGGUGUAGUGCUUCACUGCAUUGUUUAUGCUGAUUUUUCUGAUUCUGUUGUUAUUUUUUUGUUUUUAUAAUUUUUAUGAAAUUGGAAUAAUUUUUGUGGUAGAAUAUUAUGUUUUUGUCAUUUAUGUACUGUUGAGUUUGAAUAAACAAUAACAAUAAUUUACCAACGCAAGUUGGCACACAUGGAUGAGGGUCUGUGUCCCUUAAUCAUCUCUCCCGGGUUCGAUACUCAUUGGAGGAUGCGAAUAGAGCUUGCUUACUUGGGAAGGUCGCCCACUUUGUGCCUUUGUAGUACCCGAGGGAUUAGUCAUUGGACUUCCAGCCUGAUGGAUACCCUUGUGCAAACAAAAAAACAAUAACAAUAAUUUGACGAUGAUCAAACAUUAUAACAUUGAGUAAAAAAAUUCAAAGUGUGUGAAUAAUCUGUUUUGGCUAAGUGUGCAGGCCAAAUUCAAAAGAAAGAGCAACAAGCAAAGCCCAAUGAUAGUUCAGACCUAUGAUCAAAGCAUUUAACUAAUUCACUCACUAAUGACCCAAGAAAUAAUUGCUAAUCACUAACCUAGAUGGAAAGCAACUCAUUUUUCUCUAAACCACAAAGCAAGGUGACCGAAGUCAUUCUCUCUCUUCUCUCUUUUCUAACCCACGUGAAGAAGUCCCAAAAGAAAGUAAGGAAAAGAGAGUCUGAUUAGGGUUCAAAUCAAGAAAAAAAAGUGAAUUAUUAAAAUCAAGAAACAAAAGAAAAAAGAAGAAAAAAGUCAAAAGCUAAGGCUCAAAGGUAAAGAUUAAAUCGAAAGGUGAAUCAGAAAAUUUUUCUUUGUACUUUAUUGUUGCUUGUUGAAGAUGCUUUCUCCCUACAUGCACCGAACAGAAAACUUGAAGAAAAUGGAGGUUAUGAAGUUCUACUACAAAUUAAGAGUCAAGAACUAAACUUGGAGCCAAAGUAUUAAUGAAUGGCUCAGAUCUUUGAAGAAAUUUGAAAAAGGUAUGAAAAAAGAGAAGCAGUUAGGUAAGAAUACAUGUUGAAAUUAAUCGCUACUGUUGUCUCAUUUCUCUUAUGUGCUGUUGCUGCUGUGUUAUUAGAGGAAGAAGUCAAAGCUGUUCAAACCAAGUUUCAAAUUUUGAAAGCUCUACUCUAUUAAAGGUGUAAACGGCCAGAUAUUAGACUAAGGAGUGAGCACACAAGUUUGAAUUUUCAUAUCUUUCAAGUUAAUGCUUCUUCUCUUUUAUGAGUUUACAUUAAAUUUUCUUUUUUUUUAAUGUUCAUCUUUCUUUGUUUCUUUUCAAUGGAAACAAGGCAUUAAGUGAGGAAUCAGUAAAAGUCAUUGAGAGAAAAGGUAAAGAGAGUUAUCUAAAAAAAGCCAGAAAUUAUGUCAAAACUCUUUUGUAUGUUUUUCUGUUUUGUACACAUGAUUUUGAGGGGAUUCCCUUGAUAAGUUGGGUGAGCAAUGAGCACUUAGUGGUUGCAAGUCUAGGGAGUGAACCUAGCAAAAUCUAACUUGGGUAGAAGCUGGGUUUGUCCCAGAUAGGAUUUGGUUGAAUUCUAGAAAAAUUGGUAUUUGUAAUAAUUGUGAAUGAUAGUGAAAAUUCUACCACUGUUGUGGGAGAGAUUAGAUGUAUGUCACAUUUCACAAGGUGGCUGAACCAGAAUAUAUCGUUGUGUGAUUCUCUCUUCUCUACUCUUCUUCUGUUUUCUUUUGAUAUGAGAUAAAAUAAAAGUGUCUCUUAGCUUGCAUUGCCUAUUUCACAGCUAUGCAAACAUAAAGAGUUGCUCUGUUCCUAAAUGCAUUGUGAAGAGUCCAAAAAAAUUUGUCUUUUAAAAUUUUAACUUGACAGACUUAACAGCAACAAAGGGUUUAUUUGGAUGAGCUUCUAAAAAAGAUCUUUCUUUGAGUUAUCUUUUUUUAAAAGAUUUUAUAGAAAGUAAAAGUAAUUUUAUGUUUGGAUAUUGUUACCAGAUCAAAAAGAAACAAACGUAUAGCUGUAUGGAAGUACACAAUUAAGACUAGGUAUAAAUCUGUGAAAGUGUAUAUGGUAUAGAAUUAAUGGAAAAAUUGGGAAUGUGUACAAAAUUUGGGUAAGAUAGGAAGUUCCAAGUUCACCUGUGCAAAAAAAGGAAUGAAUCAGCACAGAGUAAGUAAAUAGAAGGAAAUGACAGAGAGAAUGAAAGAUAGAUAUAAAAAGAAGGCUCUCACAAUUUCCUCCCCUUUCUCAGUUCGCUGUUGCUCCUUCAUAUUGGCUCCUCACUCCUCUCCUUCCAUGUGAAAGUUUGUUAGAUCCCUUCUGUUGCUCCCCUUUUUUCUAACGGUUCUCUCUCUCUCUCACUUGUAACAUUACCCCCUCCAUUGAAAUGGACCUUGUCCUCAAGGUCAAAACUGGGAUAUUGUGUCUUCAUUUCUUCAUAGGGUUCCCACGUUGCCUCCUCUCCCGAGGUAUUUUGCCACUUAAUAAGAACUUCUUCAAUCCACUUGCCAUCUUUUUUUAUCAUUCGAUGCCCCAAGGUAGUCUGAGGUUGUAAUUGAUAUCCCUUCUCAUCUACUAACAGCGGAGAAGGGAUGGUAGCUGGUGAUGGGACCCUACACACUUCUUGAGCAGAGAUAUGUGAAAGACAUGGUGGAUUCGGGAUGUAUUGGGGAGUUCCAGCUUGUAGGCUACCUUACCUAUUCGAGCAAUGACGGGAAAAGGACCAAAAUAAUGCAUGGAUAAUUUCUGGUUCCGCCUCAGGGUCACGGAUCGCUGGCGAUAAGGCUGUAGCUUGACGUACACAAAAUCUCCCACCUGAAAUUAUAAUUCUCUGCGUUUGCUAUCUGCCUGGUUCUUCAUCCUAGUUUGGGCCUUCUGUAAGUUCAGUUUUAAGGAAGCUAACACCGAGUCUCGUAGGAGUAGUUAUUCUUGUAGAGCUGGGGGAUCCUUUGGGUAGGGUUCAUAUCGCAAUAAAGUAGGAGGGUCCUUGCCGAACACUGCUUUGUAUGGUGACAUGCCGAUAGAGGAAUGAAAGGAAGUGUUAUAGCUAAAAGCCACCCACGGUAAAAGGUUAUACCAAUCCUUCGGGUUCUCUUGCGUAUAGCACCGCAGAUACAUCUCUAGGCAAUGAUUUAGCACCUCAGUUUGGCCAUCAGAUUCCAGGUGGUAUGCUGAGCUUCUAGCCAAGCGUAUACUUUGGCCCUUGCAGCACUGCUCCCAGAACUUGCUCGUGAAGACUUUGUCCCGAUCAGAGACAAUGGACUGUGGCAAACCAUGGACACUCACCACAUCGCGAAGAAAGACCUCUGCCACUUUUGGUGCUGUGAAAUUAGCCGGGAGCGAUAUGAAAUGAGCAAAUUUUGAUAAACGAUAUACCACAACUAAUAUGACGGAGCAGCCGUGGGCUGGGGGUGAACCGGUGAUGAAGUCCAUCGAAAGAUCUUGCCAAAUAUGUGUUAGAAUAGGGAGAGGUUCCAACAAACCGGCCGGAGGUUGAGUGCUGUAUUUGGCCUGUUGGCAAAUGGAGCAAGAUUUGAUGUAGUCCUUCACGGAUUGCGCCAUGUUCUUCCAAUAAAAUUGGGCGGAUAAUCUGGAUAAUGUUUUUUUGCACGCCGCCAUGGCCACCCACAAUUGAAUCAUGAAAUUCUCGUAACAGGUGUUGCACCAGAGAUGAAGAAUUUGGAAUUAGUAACCGGUUAGUCCAGUACCAAAGCCCACCACGGUUCUGCAGCUUACCAGAAUUCAUCUCAUCCUCAGAAAAUUCAGUUUCUGGCCGAAACCGUUGAUGCUCAUCCUUUAAGAGCGGUAGUAAUGCCCAAGAAGAUGUAGAGAGCUGCCAGAAUGAUCUGGACAAUCCGUCUGCUGCUUUAUUCUCGCACCCCUGCUUGUAUUCUAUAGAGAAAUCAUAACCAAGUAGUUUGGCCAACCAGGUUUGCUGUUCUGGUGUCUGAAUGACUUGCGUUUGGAGUUCCUUCAAGCUUUUAUGGUCCGUGCGGAUGACAAACUUAUGGCCUAAUAAAUAAUGUCGAAACUUAGUCACUGCCGCGAGAAUUGCUUGCAUUUCUCUUGCAUAUGCCGAUUGUUUCUGUGCCGUUGGUGCUAGCAUUUUGGAGAAAUAAGCAAUGGGGUGACCGUCUUGGCUUAGAAUAGCCCCAAUUCCAGUUCCAGAUGCAUCAGUUUCCAAAACAAAAGGCUUAGAAAAAUCAGGUAAAGCCAAUACUGGAGCAUGAGAGAGAACCUCCUUCAAUUUCACAAAAGCCAUUGUGGCACAAUCAGACCAGAGAAAACCAUCCUUCUUUAGGAGGUCAGUUAGAGGACUCGCAAGGAUAGCGAAAUUCCGGAUGAAUUUACGGUAAUAGCUAGCCAAACCGAGAAAAGCACGUAAUUGUUUGAGUGAUGUAGGGAGCGGCCAUUGAGUAAUAGCUUGCACCUUUGACUCGUCGACCCGGACACCCUUCCGUGAUACCACAUGGCCCAAAUAAUCAACCUGUGUCUGCCCGAAUGAGCACUUAGAAAGUUUGGCAAAUAAAACAUUCUCUUUCAAUAUGGAUAGCACCUGUCGCAAAUGCUCCAAAUGAGAGGGACAAUCUGGACUGUAUACUAGUAUGUCAUCGAAGAAAACCAACACAAAUUUUUGAAGAACGGCAACAAACACCGAGUUCAUGAGGCAUUGGAAGGUAGUUGGAGCGUUGGUCAACCCAAACGGCACUACCAACCAUUCGUACAAGCCUUGGUGAGUCCGAAACGCAGUCUUGUAACGAUCCUCUGGCUUAACACGAACUUGAUGAUACCCGGCCCGCAAGUCCAAUUUUGAAAAAUAUUGGGCACCGCAAAGUUCAUCCAGAAGUUCAUCCACGGUCGGCAUAGGAAAAGAGUCCUUAAUGGUCACAGCAUUUAAAGCUCGAUAGUCGAUACAAAAUCACCAAGAGCCAUCCUUUUUCUUAACAAGAAGGACCAGAGAAGAGAAAGGACUGGCACUUGGUUGUAUAAUUCCUUCGGCCAGCAUUUCACACACAAUUCUCUCAAUUUCGAAUUUCUGACUAUGUGGGUACCGGUAAGGUCGCACCUUUACAGGUGCCGAGUUGGACAGCAAGUGAAUUUCAUGAUCACGAGAAUGCACCGGGGGUAACCCGUGGGGUGUAUCAAAGACCUCUUUAAAGGAGUACAAUAGCUUUUCCAAAUCUGGAGGCAUGGAAGUGGGCAGGUCUAGUACCAGUUGACAUUCUUCAGUUAUAGGGUGCAACUGGAGAGUAUAUAAUUCCAAAAUCUCUUGUGCAGCAUGUAAACGCUUGAGAUUGUUAAACUGAGCUUGAGUAGGCAAGUGAGUCAAUUCACCCUGCAAGGUCACAAGCUUGUUACCAUCCAUAAAAGUAAUGAACUUCUUCCUAUAGUUCACCAAAUGAGUAUCCAAAGUCUCGAGCCAAACAUCACCCAAAACAAGUUCCUCGGUCGCUAUUGGGAGGACAAAAGCUGUGAUGAAUAGCGUGUGGCCUUGAAUCAUUACAGGCACCUAUCAGACUUCCCCGUCACAUUGUAAUAAGUCGCCAUUCUCAACUUCAACUUGAAAUUGUGGAGCCUGGUGAAUGGGUAGAUUCAAAUGCUGGGCUAAGGAAGGGUGGAUAAAAUUAUCCGAACUAUCACAAUCCAUCAAAAUUCGGACCUCUCUACCCUGAACAUUCCCAGAGAAGCGAAUAGACCUCUUGGUCAGUCUCCCCGUUAGCACAUUAUAGGACAAGUGCAAGGGUUCUGGUGUUGCCACUACCUCAGAAGGCUCGUCUGGCUGCUUAAUCUCAUGAAUUUCUUCUGACAGGGGUUCAUCAGAUGGCACUUCUUCCAUUGUCUGAAUUAGAAAGUAAUGCUUGGCUGUACAUUUGUGGCCAGAUAAGUACUUCUCAUCGCAUGUAAAACACACCCCCUUCUCCCGUCGAAAUUGAAUCUCAGUAGGGGUUAAUUUGCGCAAGGUCCCUGUCUUAGUGGGUGUGGCUAGUAAAGGGGCAUUUUGUGGCGAGGUGACCGCAGAUGGGGGUGAGAGGGGAGGUUUGGGGGAAUGAGUAGCGGGCGAUUUCAAAUAAGGGGGAGACGAGAGUGAGUUCCGCCAACGCUGGGGCUGUGGUAAAAAUUUUUCGUCAAACAAUUUGACCAACGACACCGCAUGCCACAGAAAUGUGGGGGAGCGAGACUUGACCUCGCGUUUGAGCUCCGGGAUUAACCCACCAAUAAAACAGUCUAACAACAGGGUAUCAUCCAAUCCAUAUGCUCUCGCGGCCAGGUCAUUAAAAGCAUCAAAGUAUUUUGUGACUGAUGAAGAUUGUUUCAGCUUAAACAAUUCCUUGCGAGGGUUCUCAAAUUGCGAUGGUCCAAAUUUCUCCCAAGUUUGGAACCAAGCCAGAGCUUUGCCUUCUAAGCUGACCGCAACUAUGUCGAGUUUCUGAUCCUCGGGAAUAUCAUAAAUCCUAAAGAAUCUCUCAGCCCUAAAACUCCACUGCAACACAUCAUCACCGCCGGAGAAGUGUGGAAAGUCCACCUUCAUCUGGCGUGGCGGAGCAAAGACGGAGGGCUGAGCAUAUGGUUUUGGGGAUUCCUCCACUCUCGGGGCUAGGUGGGCCUGAGUCGCUGCCAAAGAUUGUGCCAUCGCCGUGAGUUGUUCUUGCUGGCCAUCAACCUGUUCAGUCAAUUUGGUGAUAGCCACCUGCAUCGAUUGUAAUCGAGUAUUUUAUGCCAUGACUCAACGAGAGCAUCAAUUGUUACCAAAUAAAAAAGGAACAAACGUAUAGCUGUAUGGAAGUACACAAUUAAGACUAGGUAUAAAUCUGUGGAAGUGUAUAUGGUAUAAAAUUAAUGAAAAAAUUGGAAAUGUGUACAAAAUUUGGGUAAGAUAGGAAGUUCCAAGUUCACCUGUGCAAAAAAAGGAAUGAAUCAGCACAGAGUAAGUAAAUAGAAGGAAAUGACAGAGAGAAUGAAAGAUAGAUGCAGAAAGAAGGCUCUCACAAUUUCCUCCCCUUUCUCAGUCCGCUGCUGCUCCUUCAUAUUGGCUCCUCACUCCUCUCCUUCCAUGUGAAAGUUUGUUAGAUCCCUUCUGUUGCUCCCCUUUUUCUAACGGUUCUUUCUCUCUCUCACUUGUAACAGAUAUCUCAUGCAAAAAAAUCUUUUUAUCUAUCAAUUAUGUUUGGGUAUAAUAAUAUAAAAGUACUUUUUUGUUUAUUUAUUAUGUAAAAUUAUAAAAUCUUAAAUUUUAUUAAUUUAAAAAUUAUUUAAUUAAAUAUUUAAAAUUAUAUAUUAAAUUUUUAAUAUUUUUAUAUUUAGUUAAAUCGAUAAACUCCAGUUAAAUUCUAAUUGAAUUUUUGAAUUAUUAAACCAAUCGCUGUACGAAUUUGGUUCUCGCAACCUUUGGUUAAUAAUCAACUAUGAAAAUCUUAGCAGUUAGGAAACCAACAUGAGUCAUAUAAAUUGCACAAUUGAUUUUAGUUCCUCAUAAUUGAUUAGAGUAAAGUAUUGUUUUUAUCUUUUAACGUUUGGGGUAAAUUCUAUUUGUGUCCUUAAUAUUUAAAUCAUCCUAUUUGUAUCCCUAACGCUUGUAAAAGUGAUUCAAUGUUAUCCUACCGUCAAUUACACAUCAUGAGCGCUUUAGUUUGAGUUUUAAAAAUCACUUCCUGAAGUUAGAAUACAAAUGUCUGGGAUAGAAUCGAUGAUCUAUUCCAAAAAGUAGCUCAUUAAAUGUUGAAACUAAUUCCUACAAUAUUUACAUAAUUCUCUUUUCUAGGGACAUAAUUGAAUCUAAACACAAAUAGUGAGUAUAAUAUUAAAAUCGAACACAUCCAAGUGAGACCUAAUUGAGAAUGAAUACAUCCAACUGAGAAUAAUUGAAAAAUAUAAUAUGAUUUGUUAGUAUAAUUGAUAGUAGGAUAACAUUGAAUCACUUUUAUAAACGUUAAGGAUACAAAUAGGACGAUUUAAACGUUAGAGACACAAAUAGAACUUACCCCAAACGUUAGAAAAAAAAAUGAUACUUUACUCUAAUUGAUUAUGGAUCGAUUGAGAUCUUCAACACUAAUAAAAACAUGCUCUCUAACUAUAUAUUUUCUAUUUUUAAAAUAAUUAUAUUUAUAUUUUUUAGAUUUAUUAAAAAUUAAUGUAUAAAAUAAAAGAGACAUUUAUUUUAAAAGGUGAAAAAUUUAAUUAAAAAAAGUAACAUUAUGUAAUGUAGGAAUAAUUGUUAACACGUAAAAUUAUUAUAAUAAUUAUUAUUAAUUUUGUUUAAAUCUAAUCCCACAACUCUACAAAUAAGAAUGGAUGCAGGUCGGACUAUUCAACAAGAAUUUGUGACUCUGUUCGAUUUGACUUAUUUUAUUAAACAGGCUAAAUUUAAAUUUUUUGUAAAACCUAUUACUUAAAAAUAUCAGGUCAUAGGCUUUAAGAAAAAGCCUAUAAAACUUGUUACAUCAGCUCGUCAAAAUAUCUUUUGUAAAAAUAAAUUAUUCUUAGAGUAAAUUAUCAUUUUUACUCACGAAAAUUGAAAACGCUAGUAUAUUUAUUCAUAGAAGACAUAAAUUAUCAUUCAUAUCUAUAAAAAAUAGAUUUUAGUUGGCAAAAUUAUUCAAACUUUAAAAAAUAAAAUAAAAUUCUCAAAUUACCCUUAUUUCCACCUUUAUUGCCAUCAUCUCUCUUCUCUUUUCUCUCUCUCUCUCUCUUUCUCUCUAAAUAUUCUUAGGGACUCCAAUCCCAAACUCUACCACCAUUAUCCUUCCCACCUACUACCAUUACUGCAUCCAUUACUAUCACCACCACCGCCAUUGCCACCCUUUCUCCUCCCUCCACCUCUUCGACCCUGAUCUCAACCUCAAUUGCAGGCUCCGCUUGCCCCUUACCUUUCUCCCUUCCGAAGAUUCAAUCCCGUCACCUCCUCCUUUAUUGUUUCUCUCUAUAUACAAAGAAACAACACAAUAAACUAUACAAAAAGAUUCAAAAACACCCUUACACUCAAAAUAACACAACAAAUUCCAAAAUUUUUUUUUCUUUCUACAAAAAAAAAAAAAACUUUUUUCACCUGUCUAAAUCACUAAUGUUCCAACUAAUCUGAUACUACGUUCAUUUAAUGCUAAUUUGAUUCAAAUAAAUUUAUGAAGAUAAUAACAUAAUAAUGAAAAGAGGGAUCUUUACUUGAGGAGGCAAAGAUCGGAGAGAGUGUGUGAGAGCUUGAUGUGGCCGAACUCGAAGGCGUGCAUGGUAGGUAGAUGCAGAAAAGGUCGGUGGCGAAUUCGCAGCUAUUGAGAGGGAACUUCUCUGAUUUGGGCUACUUGGUGGCGGGAGAGUUUUCAAGGUCCCUGAAGAGUAACCUACCGGUAUCGACCGCCGUGACGCUCCGUGGCAUCCUUAGAUUCCAACAAAUCACUCAUACUACUCGCAGCAUCCUCAGAUCUAGGAUUUCUUUUCGGCAUAGAUAGAAGCUGAGCUUGCGUUAGAUGAUUAUGCUGGUGAUGGUGGUGCUGGUGUUGUUGAGACGCGACCGACACCGAUAAGGGAGUGUGUGGCAAAGGGGUUAGAGUGACGGUUGAGGAGGAGGGCAAGGCGGUGGUAUUGAGCGACGAUGUUGAGAUUGGAGUCGCCGAGAACAUUGAGAGAGAGAAGAGGGAGAGAUGAUGGUAGUAGUAGUAGUGGAGAGAAUAGUAGUUUGAGAAUUUUAUUUAUUUUUUUAGGUUUUGGAUAAUUUUGCUUGCAAAAAUCUAUUUUUUAUGGACAAUAAUUUUAAAUUAUUUAAACUGAGUUGUUAUUAUCUUUCCAACAUCAUUUUUAUAUUAAAGAGUCUUUAAUUUCAUUAGCAAAACUCUCUUGAUAAAUGUGUGUAUCUUAAUUACACAUGUGUCUAUGUCAAGUUAUGUGCGGGUAAAAAGAUUUCUCGAUCAGGAAAAAAAGGCCCAAGGCAAGAGUGUAAGAAGAAGGACUUUAGCCGAACACAGCUAAUAUAGUUUUUGUUUCGUUGAUUUUCUGAGAAAACUGAAAAAGUCUCCAUUUCCUUGAGUUGAAUUUUGAAGAAUGUUAGGAAUUCCUAGAGCCACAUAUGUAACACGUAACAGAGACAAGAAGGAGAAAGACAGAGAGAGGAAAAUUAAGGAAGUGGUGGAGGUAGAGUUAUUAGAGGCAGAGUGUAUUAGUAUUAUUUGAUUUGAGUCCAUGGAUGGGAGUGGUGGGGAUGAAUCCCCUUAUGGAAAUGAAAUGAUCUCAUUAUUCAGUAUUCACCACGAAAUUAAUUUGUUGUUUCUAUGCAAUAUCGAAUUUUUCUCCACCCGAGAAUAAUCAGGACAUUAAUCUUACACCUCAAAUAUUACUAGUAUAAUUGAGCCUUAAAAACGAUGUCUACAUGUUCUUAUCUAGAGAAGUUGUCCUUUUAGUAGAGAACAACAGUGACCAUAACCAAUGCUGUAGAAAGAUAAUGAGAUGAGUCCCAAAGAGGGUUGUGUGGUAACAAAGUCUCCUCAGCAUUGGUGGAUUAGGGAAAAGAUUCAAUGGCAACCUCAAAGUAUUGGGCCAAUAGAGUGUGAUGAAGAACUUGAAGCAAUAUAUGUUUGCCACGUGGCAGGGUGCGUAAUCUUGGUUGUGUGGACGUUAGAGCCCUAACCACCAAUCCUGAGGAUGUGAAUUUGUGUACACUCAACGAGGCGACUGCUAUAAGUCCAAGCCUUGCAUCAUUUCUGCUCCCAGUGGUAGGCUUCCUCUGCAUUUUCUCUCCAGUCUUCCCUUUCUUUGCUAAUCGCUUGCUACAAGAGUGCUAUGGCUUCCUCCGUCUCCACAGUCGGAGUUGUGAACAGAACCCUAGUACGAUUCAGUCUCUUACACUCUACUUAUUUGAUUUUAUACAAGUAUAGUAUUAAUUAAGUAUUGCAUUGCAGCUGAGCUUCAAUGGAUCAGGAGGAGGAAGCUCGGUUCCAAGCUCAGCGUUCUUGGGAAGCAGCUUGAAGAAGGUUCAGUCGAGAAUCCCAAACACGAAGGUGAGCCCUGGAUGCUUGAAGAUUGUGGCGGCGAAAGAGAUAGACGAGGAGAGCCAGACAGAUGGGGACAGAUGGAGGGGUCUGGCAUACGAUAUAUCGGAUGAUCAGCAAGACAUCACGAGGGGUAAGGGUAUGGUCGACAGCCUUUUCCAAGCCCCUAUGCAAACCGGAACUCACUACGCUGUCAUGAGCUCUUAUGAGUACCUCAGCCAGGGGCUUCGCCAGUCAGUCUCUCUUAUUCAUUAACUCCCACCUUCUUUCUUUCUUUCUUAACCUCAUUCAUUCAUUCUCUUAUUCUUAUUCAUUAGGUACGACAUUGACAACAUGCUUGACGGCUUCUACAUUGCCCCUGCUUUUAUGGACAAGCUUGUUGUUCACAUCACCAAGAACUUCAUGACCCUCCCCAACAUCAAGGCAUGAGUCUCUUACUUACUUAUUUUCACACCUCAUUCAAUCAACUAAUAUUUGAGCAUACAGGUUCCUCUCAUUCUUGGUAUCUGGGGAGGCAAGGGUCAAGGAAAGUCGUUCCAAUGUGAACUUGUUUUUGCCAAGAUGGGAAUCAAGUGAGUUGAUUGCUUACACACACUACUACUAGAAUACCCUAUCAUUCCGUUUAAUUAAUGAAUGUAUAUAUGCAGCCCAAUCAUGAUGAGUGCUGGAGAGUUGGAAAGUGGAAACGCAGGAGAGCCGGCGAAGCUGAUCAGGCAGAGAUACCGUGAGGCGGCAGAUUUGAUCAAGAAGGGGAAGAUGUGCUGCCUCUUCAUCAACGAUCUGGACGCAGGAGCUGGUCGUAUGGGCGGAACCACCCAAUACACAGUCAACAACCAGAUGGUCAACGCCACCCUCAUGAACAUUGCUGACAACCCAACCAACGUGCAGCUCCCCGGUAUGUACAACAAGGAGGAGAACCCACGUGUCCCCAUCAUCGUCACCGGAAACGAUUUCUCCACUCUCUACGCUCCUCUUAUCCGUGACGGUCGUAUGGAGAAGUUCUACUGGGCUCCCACAAGGGAAGACCGUAUUGGUGUCUGCACCGGUAUCUUCCGUACCGACAAUGUUCCCGCCGAUGACAUUGUCAAGC